UGCCUGAACUCUCCUUACACUUUAGGAUCCGUGGACCCUGGUUAAGAACCCUGAUACUGAUUCAUGAUCUCUGACAGCUUCUGCACGAAGGUCCCUUCCAAUUCUGACAGUCUGUGUUUGAAGGUCUAAGGACCCUUCAUAGCUCUGACCUUGCCUAAUGCAGGGGGCAAGAGCCGGUAUCAGCCGUGUCUGUGUUAAGGGAGCAGAGGUGAGAAGUGACCGUCGGCCUGGAGCUGUCGGGGAUCCAAGGACGUCACGGAGGAGGCUGUUAGGAUAUCCCUUCCUCGUUUCUGGUCGAUGUUGAGAGCAAUAUCUGAAGGCUCUCGCACUGAAGAUACUAAAGAAUCUCAGCCUUGGGAAAAACCCCAAAGGCCAUCUAGUGACUACCCACUGCCUGGCCAUCUUCACAGCCUCUGGAACAGCCUUUCUACCUCCUUGACAGUGACCCUGGAAGUCUGA
Long non-coding RNA from Vombatus ursinus (common wombat), 459 nucleotides. RefSeq lists it as uncharacterized. The record is from RefSeq and is a predicted model, not a curated record. NCBI's taxonomy places the organism in Eukaryota, Metazoa, Chordata, Mammalia, Diprotodontia, Vombatidae. The transcript is spliced from 3 exons.